AGAUGAUGUCACACAAGAAGAUUGGGAUUACUUGUGCAAUCUUUUUUCUCUUGAAAAAUUUAAGAAAAGGGCUACUAUAAAUAGUGAAAAUCGUGAAAAGCUUCCAUUCAAUCAUCGUGGUGGAUCUAAACCAUUUGCAUUUCAUCGUCAGCAUAACUCAAUGAGUGUUGCCACUGGAGAGUUGCAAGGGGAAGUGGAGUUAUUUCGUGCCACUCACUACAAUGAAAGUAAGG
Vitis riparia (riverbank grape) is the source of this 233-nucleotide long non-coding RNA. RefSeq lists it as uncharacterized. NCBI's taxonomy places the organism in Eukaryota, Viridiplantae, Streptophyta, Magnoliopsida, Vitales, Vitaceae. The record is from RefSeq and is a predicted model, not a curated record. The transcript is spliced from 3 exons.